UCGUAAUCUUGCAACCAAAACCCAAAACAGAUAAAUAUGGGAAGAGAGGAUUUAGCGGACGAGAGGAAGGAGGGAAGGACGCAGACGCACAAACGCAGUCUCAUGAUCUCCGACUUCAAAAGAACUGUCAGGCUUCAGAAGAACUGUCAUCCCACGAUCUCUACAUAGACGGUAACUACCACACCAACGUCAAGUAAAAAUGGAACAGACGAAGCAAACGAAAAAAGGAACAAAAAGAAGAGCAGAGCAAAAUCAAAUCCAAAAGAAGGAGUAAAUUUAAAUCAUUUCGGCAAAGGUGGGAGUCAUCGGUCUUUACUCCGCUUAGCGAUUUCGGUUGCGAUUCUGGUAAGUAAUAUUGAUUGGGUUUUUUUAGGUUAUAAUUUGGGAUCUGUAUUUGGGAUUGGAAGGGAAAUUGUUGAAAUUCUUCUCAAUGGAUUGACCUUUCUUUUGUUCAAAACUUCUCACACGGGUGGAACAAAACCAACAAUUAGGAGGAGCAGAGCUCCACCAGACGAAGAGAAAAUUGCUAUCAAUUCGACUGAGGUUGGAACUGAUAAUCGAUUGAGAUUGGUAUUUGUAUAUUUUUCAAUAUUCACUUUUUCCUUACUUAUAUUGUGUUCUGUGUUGUGAGUCUAAAGUUCUACAUAUGAUUUUUUUUUUUUCUGUGCAUUUUCUUCUGUGAUGUAGUGCUGAGACGGCUUGGAAUGAAGUGCAUGAAGUUAAAUAGGCCAUAGAGACUCCAAAGCCUAGACUUACUCACAACCUGGUAUGUUUAUCAGUACUCGCAGACUCAUGUUUAAAGUUUUUUGCUUGAUUACUCAUGCUCUAAAUAUGCCUAUGGCCCAUCUUAGUAAAUGGAUGUGGAUUAGGUGAAAUUGAGAACCGUUCUUGAAAUGAUGUAAUUUAGUUAUCUAGGCUUUUGUUUUUUUUUUUUUUGGGUAUGUAAGAGUGGUGGAAUUGGGAAUCCCUUAUUUAGGUGAUGUGUUUUUUUCCUGUAGCUAGGGAGGAGUGGAAAAUGCUAUGGAAAAGGUAGAGAACGAGAAAUUCAAUGGAGUAUAUAUGCUUUUAAUAUAUUUGCAUCCUUUUUCUUUUGCUUUUGAUUAACUUGGUGGUUACCUUGGAAUUGUUUGUAUAUCUUCUUUUGAUUGUGACUAGUACUACUAAAUAUGUAUGAGCUUAAAACAAGAUCCAUAGCAUGAACUAUAGAUCCCCUCUUGUGUGAUUAUAACAAUUAGUAUCAAGGCCUUAUGUCAAAUUAGAAUGAUUUCCCUAAUUGCAAUAAACUAGUUUGACUCAGACUUAUAGAUACUGAGAUACUAACUGGACAAUUUGUUGGGACUCGAGUUUUUCUCCUUAGGAUUUCUUUGAAAAGUCAAGAAAGUGCUGGGCUACCAUUUCAAUUAACAAGAAAGCAAUUUCCAGUCAAACUGAGUUUCUCUUUGACCAUAAACAAACCUCAAGGUCAGACUAUCCCACAAGUAGGUGUUUACCUCCUGGAUCAUGUUUUUAGUCAUGGACAAUUUUAUGUGGCAUUGUCUAGAGGAGUAUCGAAGUCGACCACAAAGAUUCUGGUUAAAAAAGGUUUUGAAAUUGGUCAAGAUGGUGUGUUUACUAAUAACGUCAUAUUUAAAGAAGUUUUGCUUCAUUCGAAGACAAAUGAUAUGUCGUCUUCAUAGGUACCUCAAUGCAUAAAUGUGAUUAGAAAGUUCAAUAUUUGAAUGUAUGUUUUUUUUUUUUUUUACCAUCUUUAAGUUUGUAUAGUUCUUUUUAUUUGUAUGAAUGAUAUGAGGUAAGGGAGCUGAACUGAAGAAAAGGUUUCAAAAAGUCAAAAGUAUAUCAAAAACUACAAGGUAUACGUGCUUUACUAGAACUAUAUAAAACUUGAGGACCAAAGUCACUGUCUUAUGUUAUUGUUUUCUGUUAUUGAUUUGUAGUUUAAGCGCGACGGUUAACAAAUAGAUGGCUGAGAUGGAGUCGAUUGGAGCAUGUCAACUUUAUCGUACAUAUUUGUAUAGAUUGAUGUAUAAUAGUCACUUUUAAAACUAAUUUUUUUUCCGUGGUGGUACAGAUAAUAAGUAGUCUUAAAUGUGGCCUUCUUUAGCUGGUCGGUUACUGAUUUUUAGAGAAAGUUUUGGAAGCUUCAAUCGCGGUCUUCUUUAGCCGGUCGAUUACUAAUUUACGGUC
This 2184-nucleotide long non-coding RNA is filed under the name Fragaria vesca (wild strawberry). Its description in RNAcentral is "long non-coding RNA (FVES_LNC003718)". The record is from RNAcentral. Lineage: Eukaryota; Viridiplantae; Streptophyta; Magnoliopsida; Rosales; Rosaceae.